CCUACGGGCGGCAGCAGUGGGGAAUAUUGCACAAUGGGCGAAACCCUGAUGCAGCGACGCCGCGUGAGUGAAGAAGUAUUUCGGUAUGUUAAGCUCUGUCAGCAGGGAAGAAAAUGACGGUACCUGACCAAGAAGCCCCGGCUAACUACGUGCCAGCAGCCGCGGUAAUACGUAGGGGGCAAGCGUUAUCCGGAUUUACUGGGUGUUAAGGGAGCGUAGACGGCAGGGCAAGUCUGGAGUGAAAGGCGGGGGCUCAACCCCCGGACUGCACUGGAAACUGCCAGGCUGGAGAGCAGGAGAGGUAAGUGGAAUGCGUAGUGUAGCGGUGAAAUGCGUAGAUAUUAGGAGGAACACCAGUGGCGAAGGCAGCUUACUGGACUGUAACUGACGUUGAGGCUCGAAAGCGUGGGGAGCAAACAGGAUUAGAUACCCGGGUAGUC
RNAcentral lists this ribosomal RNA (440 nucleotides) under uncultured bacterium. RNAcentral's name for it is "partial 16S ribosomal RNA". It matches the Rfam family "Bacterial small subunit ribosomal RNA", at positions 338 to 795 of the family's 1533-position model. The record is from RNAcentral.